RNAcentral lists this ribosomal RNA (595 nucleotides) under uncultured Bacteroidota bacterium. RNAcentral's name for it is "bacterial SSU rRNA". It matches the Rfam family "Bacterial small subunit ribosomal RNA", at positions 122 to 715 of the family's 1533-position model. The record is from RNAcentral. Lineage: Bacteria; Pseudomonadati; Bacteroidota.
CNACCUGCCCAUAACUAGGGAAUAACCUUGCGAAAGUAAGACUAAUGCCCUAUGAUUUCCUUCGAUGACAUCUGAAAAGGAAUAAAGAUUUAUCGGUUAUGGAUGGGGAUGCGUCUGAUUAGCUUGUUGGCGGGGUAACGGCCCACCAAGGCAACGAUCAGUAGGGGUUCUGAGAGGAAGGUCCCCCACAUUGGAACUGAGACACGGUCCAAACUCCUACGGGAGGCAGCAGUGAGGAAUAUUGGUCAAUGGGCGGAAGCCUGAACCAGCCAAGUAGCGUGCAGGAUGACGGCCCUAUGGGUUGUAAACUGCUUUUAUAGGGGAAUAAAGUGAGUCUCGUGAGACUUUUUGCAUGUACCUUAUGAAUAAGGACCGGCUAAUUCCGUGCCAGCAGCCGCGGUAAUACGGAAGGUCCGGGCGUUAUCCGGAUUUAUUGGGUUUAAAGGGAGCGUAGGCCGGAGAUUAAGCGUGUUGUGAAAUGUAGACGCUCAACGUCUGCACUGCAGCGCGAACUGGUUUCCUUGAGUACGCACAAAGUGGGCGGAAUUCGUGGUGUANCGGUGAAAUGCUUANAUAUCACGAAGAACUCCGAUUG